Molecule: transfer RNA, 83 nt
Filed under: bacterium
Lineage: Bacteria
Description: tRNA-Leu
Rfam family: tRNA
About the family: Transfer RNA (tRNA) molecules are approximately 80 nucleotides in length. Their secondary structure includes four short double-helical elements and three loops (D, anti-codon, and T loops).
Source: RNAcentral
GCUCUCGUGGUGGAACGGCAGACACAUACGCUUCAGGUGCGUACGCUCGCAAGGGCAUGGAGGUUCGAAUCCUCUCGAGAGCA